RNAcentral lists this ribosomal RNA (1166 nucleotides) under Sulfurimonas sp. RNAcentral's name for it is "bacterial SSU rRNA". It matches the Rfam family "Bacterial small subunit ribosomal RNA", at positions 320 to 1501 of the family's 1533-position model. The record is from RNAcentral. Lineage: Bacteria; Pseudomonadati; Campylobacterota; Epsilonproteobacteria; Campylobacterales; Sulfurimonadaceae.
UGAGACACGGACCAGACUCCUACGGGAGGCAGCAGUGAGGAAUAUUGCACAAUGGGGGAAACCCUGAUGCAGCAACGCCGCGUGGAGGAUGACGCAUUUCGGUGUGUAAACUCCUUUUAUGAGUCAAGAAAAUGACGGUAGCUCAUGAAUAAGCACCGGCUAACUCCGUGCCAGCAGCCGCGGUAAUACGGAGGGUSCAAGCGUUACUCGGAAUCACUGGGCGUAAAGGACGCGUAGGCGGGUUGGUAAGUCAGAUGUGAAAUCCUACAGCUCAACUGUAGAACUGCAUUCGAAACUACUAACCUAGAGUAUGGGGGGGGGAGAUGGAAUUAGUGGUGUAGGGGUAAAAUCCAUAGAUAUCACUAGGAAUACCUAAAGCGAAGGCGAUCUCCUGGAACAUUACUGACGCUAAGGCGUGAAAGCGUGGGGAGCAAACGGGAUUAGAUACCCCGGUAGUCCACGCCCUAAACGAUGAACACUAGUCGUCGGGAUGCUUGUCAUCUCGGUGAUGCACUUAACAGAUUAAGUGUUCCGCCUGGGGAGUACGGUCGCAAGAUUAAAACUCAAAGGAAUAGACGGGGACCCGCACAAGUGGUGGAGCAUGUGGUUUAAUUCGAAGAUACGCGAAGAACCUUACCUAGCCUUGACAUUGAUAGAACACACCAGAGAUGGAGUGGUGCCCUUCGGGGAACUUGAAAACAGGUGCUGCACGGCUGUCGUCAGCUCGUGUCGUGAGAUGUUGGGUUAAGUCCCGCAACGAGCGCAACCCUCGUCCUUAGUUGCCAGCAGGUUAAGCUGGGCACUCUAGGGAGACUGCCUUCGCAAGGAGGAGGAAGGUGAGGACGACGUCAAGUCAUCAUGGCCCUUAUGGCUAGGGCUACACACGUGCUACAAUGGGGCGUACAGAGAGUUGCAAUACCGCGAGGUGGAGCCAAUCUCACAAAGCGUCUCUCAGUUCGGAUUGAAGUCUGCAACUCGACUUCAUGAAGCUGGAAUCACUAGUAAUCGUAGAUCAGCAAUGCUACGGUGAAUACGUUCCCGGGUCUUGUACUCACCGCCCGUCACGCCAUGGGAGUUGAUUUCACCCGAAAUUGGGAAGCUAACCUUCGGGAGGCUACCACUUACGGUGGAAUUAGCGACUGGGGUGAAGUCGUAACAAGGUAACC